Molecule: unclassified non-coding RNA, 1439 nt
Filed under: uncultured Neocallimastigales
Lineage: Eukaryota; Fungi; Neocallimastigomycota; Neocallimastigomycetes; Neocallimastigales
Description: partial contains small subunit ribosomal RNA, internal transcribed spacer 1, 5.8S ribosomal RNA, internal transcribed spacer 2, and large subunit ribosomal RNA
Rfam family: Eukaryotic large subunit ribosomal RNA (bases 660-1439)
Source: RNAcentral
UUUCCGUAGGUGAACCUGCGGAAGGAUCAUUAAAAAAUUGGACUCCAUUGGUGAGUUCAUUAAUAAUCCCUACCCUUUGCGAAUUUGUUUGUUUGAAUAAUUUUUUUUCCAAAAAAAAUUAUUGAAUGUCUUUCCUUGUUUUGGUGGAGCUUGUAAAGUGAAACCAGGCAGGGGAAUGGCAAACAAUAAUUAUUUUUGAAAAAGACCUUUUUUUAAAAUUAAACUUUUUGUAUUCAUUUGUCUAAAAUUAAUUUUUAUAAUAUAAAAACAACUUUUGACAAUGGAUCUCUUGGUUCUCGCAACGAUGAAGAACGCAGCAAAAUGCGAUAAGUAGUGUGAAUUGCAGAAUACGUGAAUCAUCGAAUCUUCGAACGCAUAUUGCACUUUUUUAGUUUACUAAAAAAGUAUGUCUGUUUGAGUAUCAGUAAAAUAUUCUCAUAAAAAACAUUGUUUUUUUUAUGGUUAUGAGUGUUUUACAACGAUAACAAGUUGUUUCACUUUAAAUUCUUUGUUAUCAAAAAAAUCAUUAAAAGCCAAUUUUAAAGAUUUUUUAAAAUUGGAUAAAAUUUUCCCGUAAAAAGGAAUAACCUAAACAAUUUUAAAAAAUUAAAAUUGGUUUGAUUUUUUUGAAACCCAAAGGAAAAAAAACGAAAUUAACUUGAUCUCAAAUCAGAUAAGAGUACCCGCUGAACUUAAGCAUAUCAAUAAGCGGAGGAAAAGAAACUAACUAGGAUUCCCUCAGUAACGGCGAGUGAAGCGGGAAGAGCUCAAAUUUGAAAUCUUCAAGGUUUUACCUUGACGAAUUGUAGUUUAAAGAAGUGUUUUCUGUUGGAGUUUUGGUAAAAGUUCUUUGGAAAAGGACAUCAUAGAGGGUGAGAAUCCCGUAUUUGACCAUUAUCUCCAGCUUUGUGAUACACUUUCAAAGAGUCGGAUUGUUUGGGAAUGCAGUCCAAAAUGGGUGGUAAAUUUCAUCUAAAGCUAAAUACUGGCGAGAGACCGAUAGCGAACAAGUACUGUGAGGGAAAGAUGAAAAGAACUUUGAAAAGAGAGUUAAACAGUACGUGAAAUUGUCAAAAGGGAAGCGUUUGACACCAGUGUUGUUUUCUCGAAAAUCAAUUAAAAAAGGCCGGAUUUUGUGUUGUAUUGACUUUAUCAGCUUUCUGCACUCUUUUCUUGUCUUUUUUAAUGCACUUUUCGUUUAACAAGUCAACAUCAAUUUCUUUUGUUGUAAAAGGGUCAUUGGAAGGUGGCUUUCUUUUCGGAGAAAGUGUUUAUAGCCUUUGGCCUCUGCAAUCGGAGAGAUUGAGGUCUGCAGCGUAGAUCCUUCGGGGUUAGAUACAUUUGUGCUAAGUUAUAGCCUUUCAUAGACAACUUGUUGACUAUGAUCAGUCAUGUAGCUUACUCGCUUAUGCUAUUUUACCUACGCUUAGGAUGUUGAG